CUCUUGACAACCUCUGUCGAUGUAAAUGCAAUGAAUGUUUAAUUCAUUUAACAUAUCUUUUACCAUUCUUUGUGGUUCGGCCAAAGUCUCUACAGUCAGUUCGUCCGCACACGUAGGGCAUCUUCGAGAAUUCUCAAGAUGUUUCGUAAUACAAGCACGACAGAAACAAUGAUGGUUUCUCGGACACAGGACGGGCUCUCUUAAAACGUUGAAGCAAAUCAAACAGAGGAAAUUUCGAUUGACUGUGGUCGCAAAUCUCUCCUCAUCAUAGCCUUGUAUGUACGAUGCCAUAUCAGUUCACGCCAUUCUUGUUUCGUAAUCACAAAGCAAGUUCUGUGUUGAUGUUAGUCGCUCUGUAGUAUAAACCUCGCUAUAUAGACUGAAUAUAGAUACAGUGUUCGUUCUUCGAGAAAGUCUG
Non-coding RNA from Paramuricea clavata, 418 nucleotides. NCBI's taxonomy places the organism in Eukaryota, Metazoa, Cnidaria, Anthozoa, Malacalcyonacea, Plexauridae. The record is from the annotation of a GenBank genome assembly.